UUUAAGUGCAACCAUGAGUUUUCGCGCUUAAAUUUGAUUGUUUGUCUUAUUUGAAAUUAUUUAUAAUUAGUAUUUUUGUUGCUAUGAGAUGAUAAAACAUGAAUAAUACUUUACUCGUAACUUAUAUUUUCAAAUUUUUUCAAUUUUUUUUAAAUAAGACAUACAAUUAAAGUUGGUCGCGAAAAAUCGUAGCUACAUUUAAA
Oryza glumipatula is the source of this 203-nucleotide non-coding RNA. The record is from Rfam. NCBI's taxonomy places the organism in Eukaryota, Viridiplantae, Streptophyta, Magnoliopsida, Poales, Poaceae.